UACGAAGGUGGCAAGCGUUACUCGGAAUUACUAGGCGUAAAGGGCAGGUAGGUGGUUUGAUAAGUCUGUUGUGAAAGCUCCCGGCUCAACUGGGAGAGGCCAACAGAUACUGUCAAGCUUGAGUAUAGGAGAGGAUACUGGAAUUCCCGGUGUAGCGGUGAAAUGCGCAGAGAUCGGGAGGAACACCAAUGGCGAAAGCAGGUAUCUGGACUAUUACUGACACUCAGCUGCGAAAGCUAGGGGAGCAAACAGG
This 253-nucleotide ribosomal RNA is filed under the name uncultured bacterium. RNAcentral describes it as "partial 16S ribosomal RNA". It matches the Rfam family "Bacterial small subunit ribosomal RNA", at positions 524 to 776 of the family's 1533-position model. The record is from RNAcentral.